RNAcentral lists this long non-coding RNA (314 nucleotides) under Androctonus crassicauda. Lineage: Eukaryota; Metazoa; Arthropoda; Arachnida; Scorpiones; Buthidae. The record is from RNAcentral.
AAAAUUACUGACAGUAACUGAAUUAUCAAGCGAUAAGUAGCAUUCUUCAAGUAAGCCAAGUUAAGUAAGCUUUCAAGUGAGCUGAGGCAAGUUAGCCUUCAAACAUGGCACCUGCUAUGUCUAAAAACAUUAGAGAAUUACAGUAUCAAAUAAGUUCACCUUUGCUUCAUAUAUAUCACUCAGAAGGAAACAAAAAACUAGCACUUCAGCAAAGAAAUAUUUAUUGCAGUAAAACGUUUUCGGACGUAUCACACCAUCCCUCAUCAGUACUGGCAAAAAUUACAAGUAUUCUAUUAUUCUAUUAUUCGAAUUCC